ACUCUAAAGAACUGCCUACGCAAGUAGUGAGGAAGCGGGGAUGACGUCAAAUCAGCACGGCCCUUACGUCCAGGGCUACACACGUGCUACAAUGGCCGAUACAGAGGGGCAGCUACCUGGUGACAGGAUGCAAAUCUCCAAAGUCGGUCUCAGUUCGGAUCGGAGUCUGCAACCCGACUCCGUGAAGUUGGAUUCGCUAGUAAUCGCGCAUCAGCCAUGGCGCGGUGAAUACGUUCCCGGGCCUU
Molecule: ribosomal RNA, 245 nt
Filed under: uncultured Sphingobacteriales bacterium
Lineage: Bacteria; Pseudomonadati; Bacteroidota; Sphingobacteriia; Sphingobacteriales
Description: partial 16S ribosomal RNA
Rfam family: Bacterial small subunit ribosomal RNA
Source: RNAcentral